AUUGAACGCUGGCGGCAGGCCUAACACAUGCAAGUCGGACGGUAGCACAGAGAGCUUGCUCUUGGGUGACGAGUGGCGGACGGGUGAGUAAUGUCUGGGGAUCUGCCCGAUAGAGGGGGAUAACCACUGGAAACGGUGGCUAAUACCGCAUAACGUCGCAAGACCAAAGAGGGGGACCUUCGGGCCUCUCACUAUCGGAUGAACCCAGAUGGGAUUAGCUAGUAGGCGGGGUAAUGGCCCACCUAGGCGACGAUCCCUAGCUGGUCUGAGAGGAUGACCAGCCACACUGGAACUGAGACACGGUCCAGACUCCUACGGGAGGCAGCAGUGGGGAAUAUUGCACAAUGGGCGCAAGCCUGAUGCAGCCAUGCCGCGUGUAUGAAGAAGGCCUUCGGGUUGUAAAGUACUUUCAGCGGGGAGGAAGGCGGUACGGUUAAUAACCGUGCCGAUUGACGUUACCCGCAGAAGAAGCACCGGCUAACUCCGUGCCAGCCGCCGCAGUAA
RNAcentral lists this ribosomal RNA (504 nucleotides) under uncultured bacterium. Its description in RNAcentral is "partial 16S ribosomal RNA". It matches the Rfam family "Bacterial small subunit ribosomal RNA", at positions 29 to 523 of the family's 1533-position model. The record is from RNAcentral.